GAACGCUAGCUACAGGCUUAACACAUGCAAGUCGAGGGGCAGCAUGGUCUUAGCUUGCUAAGACUGAUGGCGACCGGCGCACGGGUGAGUAACACGUAUCCAACCUGGCCCAUACUCGGGUAUAGCCUCUCGAAAGGGAGAUUAAUCCCCGAUGUUGUUGGAUUGCCGCAUGGUUUUUCAACCAAAGAAUUUCGGUAUGGGAUGGGGAUGCGUUCCAUUAGCUAGAUGGUGAGGUAACGGCUCACCAUGGCGACGAUACAUAGGGGGACUGAGAGGUUAACCCCCCACACUGGUACUGAGACACGGACCAGACUCCUACGGGAGGCAGCAGUGAGGAAUAUUGGUCAAUGGACGCAAGUCUGAACCAGCCAUGCCGCGUGCAGGAAGACGGCUCUAUGAGUUGUAAACUGCUUUUGUACAAGGGUAAACCUCGGUACGAGUACCGAGCUGAAAGUACUGUACGAAUAAGGAUCGGCUAACUCCGUG
This 486-nucleotide ribosomal RNA is filed under the name uncultured bacterium. RNAcentral's name for it is "bacterial SSU rRNA". It matches the Rfam family "Bacterial small subunit ribosomal RNA", at positions 31 to 507 of the family's 1533-position model. The record is from RNAcentral.